RNAcentral lists this transfer RNA (76 nucleotides) under Candidatus Omnitrophota bacterium. RNAcentral describes it as "tRNA-Gly". It matches the Rfam family "tRNA". Rfam says of the family: Transfer RNA (tRNA) molecules are approximately 80 nucleotides in length. The record is from RNAcentral. Lineage: Bacteria; Pseudomonadati; Candidatus Omnitrophota.
GCAGGAGUAGCUCAGCUGGUAGAGCGCCACGUUGCCAACGUGGUUGUCGCGGGUUCGAACCCCGUCUCCUGCUCCA